Molecule: long non-coding RNA, 383 nt
Organism: Lagopus leucura (white-tailed ptarmigan)
Lineage: Eukaryota; Metazoa; Chordata; Aves; Galliformes; Phasianidae
Exons: 3
Source: RefSeq, a predicted model, not a curated record
UGUUCUGCUCUGUGUGAUGGUGGAAGCGUCUCUUUGGCACUGUGGAAACCACAGCUUCUAUGCUGGGCCAAGGAAAGCUUUGUCUCCUCUCUGUGUGCCAUAUUGGAGCUUUCCCUUUGCUCAUUCCAAAAGAAGAUUUUCCCACUCACACAAGGUGUGUCUGAAGGAAUCUCAAAGAGAGGAGCUGAUGCACAUGAAGCUGUACCUGACUUAAUUAAAGCAACCAGGUGGACAAACCUCAGCUCAGAGGAGGGACGAUGUUUUCCUUGGCCCCAUUGAAACCACGUGUUUGUUACCACUGACAGAUUUAGCUGUGACCUGUUGUGCCCAUGGCACCGUGGUUUGCUGGAAGAAAACCUUUAAGUGCCACAGGAGAAGGGCUG